UAACCUCCAACGUCGUGAACUUAUCUCUGACCCACAAUGCCCUGACCUCUGACCCCAAUGACCUGACCUCUGACCCGAUGACCUGACCUCUGACCUCAAUGACCUGACCCGAUGACCCCCAAUGACCUGACCUCUGACCUCGAUGACCUCUGCCCGGACAGGUCUGUGUCGCGUCACGAGCUGUUCCCAAUCCGCGCCACCCUGCUCUCGAUGGAGCAUUGUAUCGCGCCCUUCCUGGAUGGAUGUGAUACGAACGGAGACCGUGACAUCUCGCUCUCCGAGUGGGCCAAGUGCCUCCAGGUUACUGAUGGUGAGAUCAAGGAGCGUUGUGAGAACAUCAAACAGGAGAGCGACUAGCUCCGUCUGGAGCCAACGGUGAGCUACAUCCGACAGGCUCCUGUGAGCUACUCCUGAGCCAACGUUAAACACAGGAGCUCACCAGGCCACUGAUGAGCUCUGAGCUAGCAGGGAGCUGUCGGCGAAUCACCAGUGAGCUAAUACCGAGCUUCUAAUGCGGUUUGGGUACCAGUCGGGACUCAAACCAGGGAAACAUUGGUGCUAUCUUUGAGCUUACAUGUCUUACGUGGUAGAUUGCCUUUUUAGAAUGUCUCGCUGCGUCCAGUUAGCAAAUCGACUGACUCCUACUCACUGUGAUUUGAUAAAAAAAUGAAAUGUGUGUGCAUUACCGGAACUUGUAACUCGUAGGACAUUUGAACUGAGACGCCAUCGAUACUUGAUGCAAUUUUGAAGUAAGUUACAACCACUGCCAUGACUGGAUCUUGUCCGAGAAUAAAAAACUGCGCUGCAUU
Molecule: long non-coding RNA, 809 nt
Organism: Amphibalanus amphitrite
Lineage: Eukaryota; Metazoa; Arthropoda; Thecostraca; Balanomorpha; Balanidae
Exons: 2
Source: RefSeq, a predicted model, not a curated record